GUGCCAGCAGCCGCGGUAAUUCCAGCUCCAAUAGCGUAUAUUAAAGUUGUUGUGGUUAAAAAGCUCGUAGUUGAACCUUGGGCCUGGCUGGCCGGUCCGCCUCACCGCGUGCACUGGUCCGGCCGGGCCUUUCCCUCUGUGGAACCCCAUACCCUUCACUGGGCGUGGCGGGGAAACAGGACAUUUACUUUGAAAAAAUUAGAGUGCUCCAGGCAGGCCUAUGCUCGAAUACAUUAGCAUGGAAUAAUAAAAUAGGACGCGCGGUUCUAUUUUGUUGGUUUAUAGGACCGCCGUAAUGAUUAAUAGGGACAGUCGGGGGCAUCAGUAUUCAACUGUCAGAGGUGAAAUUCUUGGAUCAGUUGAAGACUAACUACUGCGAAAGCAUUUGCCAAGGAUGUUUUCAUUAAUCAGGAACGAAAGUUAGGGGAUCGAAGACGAUCAGAUACCGUCGUAGUCUUAACCAUAAACUAUGCCGACUAGGGAUCGGACGGUGUUAUUCAUGACCCGUUCGGCACCUUACGAGAAAUCAAAGUGCUUGGGCUCCAGGGGGAGUAUGGUCGCAAGGCUGAAACUUAAAGAAAUUGACGGAAGGGCACCACCAGGGGUGGAGCCUGCGGCUUAAUUUGACUCAACACGGGGAAACUCACCAGGUCCAGACACAAUAAGGAUUGACAGAUUGAGAGCUCUUUUCUUGAUUUUUGUGGGUGGUGGUGCAUGGGCCGUUCUUAGUUGGUGGGGGUGACUUGUUCUGCUUUAAUUGCGAUAACGAAACGGAG
RNAcentral lists this ribosomal RNA (776 nucleotides) under uncultured fungus. Its description in RNAcentral is "SSU rRNA". It matches the Rfam family "Eukaryotic small subunit ribosomal RNA", at positions 564 to 1341 of the family's 1831-position model. The record is from RNAcentral. Lineage: Eukaryota; Fungi.